RNAcentral lists this transfer RNA (74 nucleotides) under Planctomycetes bacterium ADurb.Bin126. RNAcentral describes it as "tRNA-Arg". It matches the Rfam family "tRNA". Rfam says of the family: Transfer RNA (tRNA) molecules are approximately 80 nucleotides in length. Lineage: Bacteria; Pseudomonadati; Planctomycetota. The record is from RNAcentral. RNAcentral also lists the same sequence under 1 other name.
GUGGGCGUAGCUCAAUUGGAUAGAGCAUCGGUCUACGGAACCGAAGGUUACAGGUUCGAAUCCUGUCGCCCAUA